CCCUUCGGGGUGGAUUACUGGCGAACGGGUGAGUAACGCGUGGGCAAUCUGCCCUUCACUCUGGGACAAGCCCUGGAAACGGGGUCUAAUACCGGAUAACACCGGCUUCCGCAUGGGAGCUGGUUAAAAGCUCCGGCGGUGAAGGAUGAGCCCGCGGCCUAUCAGCUUGUUGGUGGGGUAAUGGCCUACCAAGGCGACGACGGGUAGCCGGCCUGAGAGGGCGACCGGCCACACUGGGACUGAGACACGGCCCAGACUCCUACGGGAGGCAGCAGUGGGGAAUAUUGCACAAUGGGCGAAAGCCUGAUGCAGCGACGCCGCGUGAGGGAUGACGGCCUUCGGGUUGUAAACCUCUUUCAGCAGGGAAGAAGCGAAAGUGACGGUACCUGCAGAAGAAGCGCCGGCUAACUACGUGCCAGCAGCCGCGGUAAUACGUAGGGCGCAAGCGUUGUCCGGAAUUAUUGGGCGUAAAGAGCUCGUAGGCGGCUUGUCACGUCGGGUGUGAAAGCCCGGGGCUUAACCCCGGGUCUGCAUCCGAUACGGGCAGGCUAGAGUGUGGUAGGGGAGAUCGGAAUUCCUGGUGUAGCGGUGAAAUGCGCAGAUAUCAGGAGGAACACCGGUGGCGAAGGCGGAUCUCUGGGCCAUUACUGACGCUGAGGAGCGAAAGCGUGGGGAGCGAACAGGAUUAGAUACCCUGGUAGUCCACGCCGUAAACGUUGGGAACUAGGUGUUGGCGACAUUCCACGUCGUCGGUGCCGCAGCUAACGCAUUAAGCUCCCCGCCUGGGGAGUACG
Molecule: ribosomal RNA, 794 nt
Filed under: Streptomyces sp. T10
Lineage: Bacteria; Bacillati; Actinomycetota; Actinomycetes; Kitasatosporales; Streptomycetaceae
Description: bacterial SSU rRNA
Rfam family: Bacterial small subunit ribosomal RNA
Source: RNAcentral